GCUUGUGAAGGAUAGUAGAGAUCCUUUGGUCUUAGGAACCAAAAACCCUUGGUGCAAAUCCAAGCAAAAGCU
This 72-nucleotide transfer RNA is filed under the name Solenostomus paradoxus (harlequin ghost pipefish). Its description in RNAcentral is "tRNA-Leu(CUN)". It matches the Rfam family "tRNA". From Rfam's summary of the family: Transfer RNA (tRNA) molecules are approximately 80 nucleotides in length. Lineage: Eukaryota; Metazoa; Chordata; Actinopteri; Syngnathiformes; Solenostomidae. The record is from RNAcentral.